UUCUGGGCUGGCGGUGGCGGACGGUUUGUUUGAUCACGAUGGCCAGUCAAAAACGAUCUUGAGCAAAUGGACAAGGAAGGAACAGAUGAGUGCGAGAUUACUGGAUACUGUUCGUUUCUGAAGCUGUGUUGAAUUUUUGUGAUUUUCAAGACGGCCUCUGUUCAUAAUGUAUCUUGUGGGGGAUAAGCAUGCAUGACCCAUUGAACAAAUCUGGAGGUCCCAAGUGAGCUGGUGGAACAAUGAGAGCAGCUACUUUUCCAUGAGUCUGAGGAAGAACACUUUGUUCCAUGUUCCCUUCUGUGCUUUUGUCGUUCUUCAGGCAUAAAAUGUUGCAUAACACGAAUCUCAAACCACACAAUCCACACAGACAAGUCCAGUAGGAGUCACGGUCAGCUCAAGAGGUCUCGCGCUUGGCUUCUUUGCGGCAGCCCAUCGAAGCUGAAUCAAGUACUUGCUAAUGUCAUCUGCAAUUCAAGAAGGCCAAUUGAUUACAGAGCUUUGCACAGAAAUAAACUUGCAGUAGCGAAACACUGCAUUCACGAGUCAAAUACUGAGAGUGCGAAUGCAUAGGGCUAGACAGUAGUUCAUGGUCAAUUUUUGUGUGCACCCUGCGAAAUCAAGCACCACACUGAUUAGAUACCUGCCAUCCACCCCCUUUUAAUGAUUUGGUAUAUUCGUCUCCCAUAAAGACAUGUUUGGAUGCUGUAGAUGCUAUACAGCACACAAGACAUCUCAAAGAAAGCCCCAUGUUCAAGGGAGACUUCCGAACAAAAUGGAUUUCAAGCUUGCGGUAUUCCCACAGUCAUUCACACAAACUGAACACAGUUGUGAAAUAUCUCUCUUGAAAACGAAGGUGGAAUCGUAAAAAUGACUUUCGAAAUUUGAAAAAGUCUGGCUCACACUGAACGUGAAUGGAAGUGUACUUCUUCUUUUCUCUGCUUGGCCAACGUCACCGUGCAUUAGUCAUACCAUUCCUGCGCUGUUUUCUGACUCUAAGGAAAGUAGAUGACCGCUGUUUCUUUCCAUCUGUGUCUGAGUGAUCUGAACCCCAAUCUUCGUGCAUUGUUUUGUUCUUGGAAUGUAACACAGCGGCUACGACCAGCGUGGUAUACUACUUGUCCGCUCCAUGCAAGGUGAAGAAACGCGUUGUGUGAAAAUUGUGUGAAUGCUCACUUCCAAGUAGCAGACGACAAUAGGGGGAUGUGGUGCAUGACCCAGCUUCCACGAGCUGCCGCUAAAAGCUGAGCGCGAGGUUUAGCAGAGCUUGACUCCUCCAGAGAUCGGAGAUCAAAAAUUGUUUUCUUGUGUAUAAUAAAAAAUAUACUUUUGUAAAAUGUGUUCGUGUGUUCCAUGGACAUGAUAUUUUGUUCUAAUAUUCACCACAUAUUUUCCUGCUGUCCACCAUUUUUUUUAUAUAUGAGGUUAAAUUUGUCAUUUGUUUGAGUUCGUCCUUAGUUUCUGUAUUUUUAUUUUUUUCUUCUUUCUUCUUUAUUUACCCAUUUCUCUUCCUUGCCUUUGAACAAAAAUUUCUAAGCUCAUUCACCUCUUUCGUAUCUCGUAGAUUAAUUUUUUUUUUCUUUUUUUUUUUUCAGUCUUGCUCGAAGUGUAGUGGGAAAAAAAUAACCAAUGUUGCGUUUCGAUUUCCCUUUCACACAACCACGCAGUUGCAUACGGUGACUCAUGAGACCAUUUUGAGUUUUCAGAUACACAGACCAACGCUUCUUCCUUGCUACAGCCAAAAAUAUUAUCAAUCUCAUCCUGAUUUUUGUGCCACUAUUUGUUUCCUACAUGGGUAGUCAGAGGCAAUAGGAGAUAUGCGAAAUAGUGCCAUCUGUUGAGCGCACUGCUCCUGACCGUCAUGGCUGGGGCAGAUCUCUCACCAGCUGUAGUGAGGCAAGGGGCGUUCCUCUAAAACUGAACCCACAGCCGAAAUUUUUGCCACAUGCUGCCUCGGUGGUGUACCAAAUAUUUCGACUGGGUGUGCUAAUUACUAAAACUAUUCAAAACAUAGUCUCAACGGCAGAAAUAGUCCUGCAGUCUUGCGGUCGAUUCUGUUUCAGCCUGAUUUUACCCGGCAUUUGUCUUCCGCGUUCAGCAUUUGUAUUGUUGUAUUUUCUUUGUUUUGUACAACACUUCACUUUUCAUUGCAACAACCCGCUUGUUUUAGCUAAUUAGAGCUCUUUCUGUUUUCGUUAACAAUGAGAUUUGGGACCUGAAAUACAUGGGGGCUUAUUAAAAUGCUGUGAAUCACCCUUUUUUUAAUAAGCCGUACACAGAAUGGAUGAAAACAAUGUCUGUCUCUCGGUACGUUCUGACAUUUUACAUUCACUUGGUUGAAACUUGUGAACUACAUGUUAAACUCCAUCACUUUAACUCGUUCAUCUGUUUGUAUUUUCUGUGUGUAAGCGUCCCGGUAUAGCCAGUUCGACUUUGUCAUGAUACACAUCCCAAUUUUUUCUUUUUCUUUAUCACAUCACAUCUCCGCAGAUCUUUUGUCUUGCCUUGUUGUUUCAUAUAAUGUUGACGUUUUACUGUCUACUAUCACUGAAUCAAUGAAGUUGAUGUUCACACAGCCGUUUUCAGUAAGGUAAUCUCGAUAGUACCACAGUCGCUUCUAGUUUCCGAAACAUGCUAAUGUCUGCAUCAUUGGUGCAUGAGCGAGCAGCAGCUGUCUGAUUCUAAAGUGGCAGAUAUGAGAGGCUGCAUAAUGUGAAUGAUCACGCAUAUUCAUGCCCUCUACUCAUUACGGUCUUUCUCUGCCCCGAUGGUCGCCUCAACUACAGAAUACCAGUGCCGUGUAUUAAACGGGACCUGCAUAUACCUGAGACUCCACCCACAUUUUGAGGUAUCCAGCCAAUCACAGGUCAAAAUACAGUUCCCUAUCAUUGCAGGCCAUCCAGUACUUAUACCUCACCCUUAUUUACUGGGUGCCACCAAUUUGGAGAAACUGGAUUGAUUGGAUCGAAACGGAUAUCACUGAUGACAGACCAUAACGAUGGAUCCCACUUUUAUCAACGCCAUCUGCAUGGAGAGAUGCAUGUUGGGAAGACCCAGAAUUGCAGAAAUGGUUGCUGGCAGAAGUGAUAGGCCAGGAGAGUGGUAGAACCGCUUCUUCGUAGCAGACGACUGCUUUCAAGCCAUGUAACAUAGGUAGAUUGAAUAAAAAAUGCACAAAGAUGUA
Long non-coding RNA from Ornithodoros turicata, 3181 nucleotides. RefSeq lists it as uncharacterized. The record is from RefSeq and is a predicted model, not a curated record. Lineage: Eukaryota; Metazoa; Arthropoda; Arachnida; Ixodida; Argasidae. The transcript is spliced from 3 exons.